This 462-nucleotide ribosomal RNA is filed under the name uncultured bacterium. RNAcentral describes it as "bacterial SSU rRNA". It matches the Rfam family "Bacterial small subunit ribosomal RNA", at positions 1 to 450 of the family's 1533-position model. The record is from RNAcentral.
GGGAAUUUCGAUUAGAGUUUGAUCAUGGCUCAGAGUGAACGCUGGCGGCGUGCUUAACACAUGCAAGUCGAACGAGAACGGAUUAUAGCUUGCUAUAAUUGUCAGCUAAGUGGCGCACGGGUGAGUAAUAUAUAGUUAAUCUGCCCCAAAGAGAGGGAUAACGUUUGGAAACGGACGCUAAUACCUCAUAUGCCUUUAAAACAUAAGUUUGCAAGGGAAAUAUUUAUAGCUUUGGGAUGAGACUGUACAGUAUCAGUUAGUUGGUGAGGUAAUGGCUCACCAAGACAAUGACACUUAACUGGUUUGAGAGGAUGAUCAGUCACACUGGAACUGAGACACGGUCCAGACUCCUACGGGAGGCAGCAGUGGGGAAUAUUGCACAAUGGACGAAAGUCUGAUGCAGCAACGCCGCGUGGAGGAUGACACUUUUCGGAGCGUAAACUCCUUUUAUAUGUCAAGAAA